CCCGCUGAACUUAAGCAUAUCAAUAAGCGGAGGAAAAGAAACUAACAAGGAUUCCCCUAGUAACUGCGAGUGAAGCGGGAAAAGCUCAAAUUUAAAAUCUGGUGGCCUCUGGUCAUCCGAGUUGUAAUUUAGAGAAGCGUCUUCCGCGCUGGACCAUGCACAAGUCUCCUGGAAUGGAGCGUCAUAGAGGGUGAGAAUCCCGUCUUUGGCAUGGAUGCACCAGGGCUUCUGUGAUGCGCUCUCAAAGAGUCGAGUUGUUUGGGAAUGCAGCUCAAAAUGGGUGGUGAACUCCAUCUAAAGCUAAAUAUUGGCGAGAGACCGAUAGCGAACAAGUACCGUGAGGGAAAGAUGAAAAGCACUUUGGAAAGAGAGUGAAACAGUACGUGAAAUUGUUGAAAGGGAAACGCUUGAAGUCAGUCGCGUCGACCGAGACUCAGCCUCGCCUUGGCUUGGUGUACUUCUCGGCUGACGGGUCAGUGUCAAUUUUGGUCCUCGGAUAAUGACAAGGGAAAGGUGGCACCUUUAUAGGUGUGUUAUAGUCUCCUGUCGGAUGCGAGGGUCGGGAUUGAGGAACUCAGCACGCUGCCUUUUGGUGUCGGGGCUUCGGCCUACGCUACGUGCUUAGGAUGCUGGCAUAAUGGCUUUAAACGACCCGUCUUGAAACACGG
RNAcentral lists this ribosomal RNA (668 nucleotides) under uncultured fungus. RNAcentral's name for it is "eukaryotic LSU rRNA". It matches the Rfam family "Eukaryotic large subunit ribosomal RNA", at positions 24 to 664 of the family's 3401-position model. The record is from RNAcentral. Lineage: Eukaryota; Fungi.